AAUAUUGGACAAUGGGGUCAACGCUGAUCUAGCCCAGCCGCGUGGGGUGAGAAGGGCUUGGGAUCGUAAAGCACUUUAAGUUGGGAGGAAGGGCUUUAGGCUAAUACCCUGAAGUUUUUACGUUACCAACAGAAUAAGCGCCGGCCGACCUUGUGCCAGGAGCCGAGGUAAUACAGAGGGUGCAAGCGUUAAGCGGAAUUACUGGGCGUAACGCGCGGGUAGGUGGUUCAGUAGGAUGAGUGGAAAAUCCCCGGGCUAAACCUGGGAACUGCUUUCAUACCUGCUGAGCUAGGGUACGGUAGAGGGUAGUGGAAUUUCCUGUGUAGCGGUGAAAUGCUUAGAUAUAGGAAGGAACACCAGUGGCGAAGGCGACUACCUGGGCUGAUACUGACACUGAGGUGCGAAAGCGUGGGGAGCAAACAG
Molecule: ribosomal RNA, 423 nt
Filed under: uncultured bacterium
Lineage: Bacteria
Description: partial 16S ribosomal RNA
Rfam family: Bacterial small subunit ribosomal RNA
Source: RNAcentral